UCAAAGUUUUCCACAUUUUACAGGAAAAGUGAUUAAUUUGCAUUAAAAAGAUUUAUUUGUUGAAAUCAUAUUUCUUUGAAUCCACAGUUUUAUUUACUUUUUUGAUCGAUAGGGUAUUAAAGUGCAUUUUAAAAUCUUAUCAAUAUUACAAAUAAAAUCAUUAAUAACUAUAUAAAGACAGAUCUGGAUCGUAAAUUAUUAUUUCCAAUAAAUAUGUUCAACAAAGUUUUAAUACUAAGCUUCCUGUUGGUCUGUGCCUUUUGGCAAACACACGGUGAUGUUGUGUGUCCAGAGACAAAUGAUACAGAAAUAUCAAUUUACCUUCCUGACCCAGAAGACUGUGGCAGCUUCUAUGAGUGUUCAAAUACUGUUCCAAUAAAAGUAACUUGUCCGGGAAGGACCUACUAUAAUAUCGAAAAGAAAGUCUGUGAUUUCUUAAGAAAUGUCGAUUGUGGAGAUAGGCCCAUCAAAAAUAAAAAUAAGUAAAGAUAAAUUGUUUAAUAAAUAGUAUUCUAAUAAAA
Anthonomus grandis grandis is the source of this 521-nucleotide long non-coding RNA. RefSeq lists it as uncharacterized. The record is from RefSeq and is a predicted model, not a curated record. NCBI's taxonomy places the organism in Eukaryota, Metazoa, Arthropoda, Insecta, Coleoptera, Curculionidae. The transcript has 2 exons.